AGAAUAUCCAAGACAAUGGUCACAACUUGAAAGCACAUGGAAAAACAUAAAUUAUUUUUAUAAUGUCAGCUAAUCCACAGCUGUGCCACCUGUCAAUAUGGAUGCUAUCCAAAAGGAUUUUUGAAACUUUGUUAUCCAAAUGUGGAAAUGGCAGCUGAAGAGAUGAUUUGCGACAGUAUUUGCUGAGAUUAAUUCUGUCCACUAGAUGGACAAAACCAGUUCCCUUUUCACGGGUCUAUACACAGACCAAUGGAACAGAACAGAGGCCUCAGAUAUAACACCACACAUCUACACCAUCUGAUCUUGGACAAACGUGACAAAAACAAGCCAUGGUGAAAAGAUUCCCUAUUUAAUAAAUGGUGUUGAGAAAACUGGCUAGCCAUACGCAGAAAGCUGAAACUGGAUCCCUUCCUUACACCUUAUACAAAAAUUAACUCACGAUGGAUUAAAGACUUAAAUGUAAGACCUAAAACCAUAAAAACCUUAGAAUAAAACCUAGGCAAUAACAUUGAAGACAUAGGCAUGGUCAAGAAUAUUUUAUUGGCCCUGACAUAUGGUCUCUGGAUAGAUGUUUGACCAGACUAUGGCUCCAGGAAGAUUGGUACACUCGAGUAAUUCACAUCUGAGAAGUUUCUCUGUUGCAAUGUGCACACUGUAUUCUUCUAAGGCACCUGCAACACCACGUGACUCCACUCUGCUUGUGCGGCAGACACACAAUCCAUCCACUCACAAGUGUUCUUCAUGGUUUUCAGCCAUCUGCUCAAGUGAGCACUAAGCACCCCACUACUGU
This is a long non-coding RNA of Callithrix jacchus (white-tufted-ear marmoset), 790 nucleotides long. RefSeq lists it as uncharacterized. Lineage: Eukaryota; Metazoa; Chordata; Mammalia; Primates; Cebidae. The record is from RefSeq and is a predicted model, not a curated record.